This is a long non-coding RNA of Trachymyrmex septentrionalis, 446 nucleotides long. RefSeq lists it as uncharacterized. NCBI's taxonomy places the organism in Eukaryota, Metazoa, Arthropoda, Insecta, Hymenoptera, Formicidae. The record is from RefSeq and is a predicted model, not a curated record. The transcript is spliced from 3 exons.
CGAGCGUUUCCAUAUGUUUCGCUUUUUGGGGCAUCAUGAGCGAGAUCAUGAAUUAUUCGUCAGAAUUUUGUUAAUAAUUAACAAACAACCAGUCUGAUAAUUUAUUCACCGCUCAUAUUAAUGGCGUUAAUAGAUUGGGACAAUUUUAAUCACAAGUGUAUGCUUAUUAUGAUGUCUCUUCACGCGUUAUCAUCCUUCUUUCUACUGCGACGGGAACCAGUUAUAAUCCCAGAGGAAAUUAAAGUUGAAAAAAAACGACAGUGCUAACCAAAUAACGAAGCAAAUUCGUUCUUUUAAAUUUUUUGGUGAUUUCAAGUUUCUUUGGCACAACAACAAUCAUGGCAAGCAAACCUGAAAAGACUAAAGAAAUUGAAAAAGCAGUAGUAUACGUAAAAAAUUCUAAUGACGAAAAGAAUAAAAACAUCGAGGCGAAUCGGAAGGAGGAC